Molecule: ribosomal RNA, 349 nt
Filed under: Acidimicrobiales bacterium
Lineage: Bacteria; Bacillati; Actinomycetota; Acidimicrobiia; Acidimicrobiales
Description: bacterial SSU rRNA
Rfam family: Bacterial small subunit ribosomal RNA
Source: RNAcentral
AUUGACGGAGAGUUUGAUCCUGGCUCAGGACGAACGCUGGCGGCGGGCCUAAUACAUGCAAGUCGAACGCUCUCGACCUUCGGGUCACAUGAGAGAGUGGCGAACGGGUGAGUAACACGUGAGAAACCUACCCUUGAGUUUGGGAUAAGCAGAGGAAACUUUGUCUAAUACCGAAUGCCUUGUCCGGAUCGCAUGAUCUGGUCAAGAAAGCUCCGGCGCUCAAGGAGGGUCUCGCGGCCUAUCAGCUUGUUGGUGAGGUAACGGCUCACCAAGGCAUCGACGGGUAGCUGGUCUGAGAGGACGAUCAGCCACACUGGGACUGAGACACGGCCCAGACUCCUACGGGAGG